Molecule: ribosomal RNA, 173 nt
Filed under: uncultured bacterium
Lineage: Bacteria
Description: partial 16S ribosomal RNA
Rfam family: Bacterial small subunit ribosomal RNA
Source: RNAcentral
GUGAAGCUGGAUUCGCUAGUAAUCGCGCAUCAGCCAUGGCGCGGUGAAUACGUUCCCGGGCCUUGUACGCACCGCCCGUCAAGCCAUGGGAGCCGGGGGUGCUUGAAGUGCGUCGCCGCAAGGCGCGCCCUAGAGCAAAACCGGUGACUGGGGCUAAGUCGUAACAAGGUAUC